AAGUAAGGUGACCUCAUUGUGACAACUGCCAGCCUUUUGUACUUUAUAUGUACCUCUCCCUGAGCUGUGGGCACAGUGGAGAAGGAGGUAACAUUCCAGUGGAAAAGUAAUGUUCUUUUUCAAGGCUUUAGGAGCAGCUAGGCUUCUCUGCUGGAACUUCCAAACAAGCUCUCGAGGUCCCUUUGCAGAGAACAUAACGUAGUUAAGCUUUCAAGUUUCACACUCAUUUGAGCAAGAUACUGCAUGGACCGAAAGUCUUUAAUA
Unclassified non-coding RNA from Cavia porcellus (domestic guinea pig), 264 nucleotides. Its record names the gene 7SK. It matches the Rfam family "7SK RNA". Rfam says of the family: 7SK was discovered as an abundant small nuclear RNA in the mid-70s but a possible function has only recently been suggested. Two independent studies have found that 7SK RNA binds the CDK9/cyclin T complex (known as elongation factor P-TEFb). Lineage: Eukaryota; Metazoa; Chordata; Mammalia; Rodentia; Caviidae. The record is from Ensembl.